Molecule: ribosomal RNA, 251 nt
Filed under: uncultured prokaryote
Description: partial 16S rRNA
Rfam family: Bacterial small subunit ribosomal RNA
Source: RNAcentral
ACGGAGGGUGCAAGCGUUGUCCGGAUUUAUUGGGCGUAAAGCACGUGCAGGCGGUCUGGUAUGUCGAGUGUGAAAUCCCGGGGCUUAACCCCGGAACUGCGCUCGAAACUGCCAGUCUUGAGUUCGGAAGGGGGAGAUGGAAUUUCCGGUGUAGGGGUGUCAUCCGUAAAUGUCGGGAAGAAUACCGGUGGCGAAGGCGAUCUCCUGUGCCGAUUCUGACGCUCAGACGUGAAAGCGUGGGUAGCAAACAG